Molecule: ribosomal RNA, 421 nt
Filed under: uncultured bacterium
Lineage: Bacteria
Description: bacterial SSU rRNA
Rfam family: Bacterial small subunit ribosomal RNA
Source: RNAcentral
CUCAACGCGGAGAGGUCGUUCAAUACUGCCGAUCUAGAGGGUGUCAGAGGGGAGUGGAAUUUCCGGAGUAGCGGUAAAAUGCGCAGAGAUCGGAAAGAACACCAAUGGCGAAAGCAGCUCCCUGGGGCAUACCUGACGCUAAGAGACGAAAGCUAGGGGAGCGAACAGGAUUAGAGACCCCGGUAGUCCUAGCCCUAAACGAUGGAUGCUGGAUGUGGGACCAUAGAGUUCCGUGUCGAAGCUAACGCGUUAAGCAUCCCGCCUGGGGACUACGGCCGCAAGGUUAAAACUCAAACGAAUUGACGGGACCCCGCACAAGCAGCGGAGCGUGUGGUUUAAUUCGAUGCUACACGAAGAACCUUACCUGGGUUUGACAUAUAGGUGGUAGUGAAGUGAAAGCGGAACGACCCUUCGGGGAGCC